Molecule: long non-coding RNA, 396 nt
Filed under: Arabidopsis lyrata
Lineage: Eukaryota; Viridiplantae; Streptophyta; Magnoliopsida; Brassicales; Brassicaceae
Description: long non-coding RNA (ALYR_LNC002878)
Source: RNAcentral
AAUUAUAUAUAUGGUUUUGUUUAAGGGAAGAAUGUUGGAUUUUUUUUUUUUUAACAUCUGGAUUUAUUAUUUAUUGCAAAUUAUGAGAACUGUUACAUAGACGAUUCUACAACGGACAAUUCCUUCCGACUCUUAUUAGAUCCACGAAUAAUGACACCUUCUUCACCUUCUUCUUCAUACUCACCUCCUUCACCUCUUUCUUUAUGCUCUUGAUGGACACUUCCCUCUCUGCGUAGAAUCCUGGCGAACGGCUAUAAUUGUACAUCGCUGGAGAUUUCCUGCACACUUGCCUCUAAUAAUCUGCAAAUUUAUUAAUAAAUCACAGUAUCUGGGACUCGAACCCCAGACCUCUGGAUGUAGAAGCAUUAAUUAACCCUUGUUCAACCAAUGGGCCAA